Non-coding RNA from Bos taurus (domestic cattle), 69 nucleotides. The record is from Rfam. NCBI's taxonomy places the organism in Eukaryota, Metazoa, Chordata, Mammalia, Artiodactyla, Bovidae.
CCUGGUGGCUCAGAGGUUAAAGCGUCUGCCUGCAAUGCGGGAGACCUGGGUUCGAUCCCUGGGUCAGGA